Molecule: long non-coding RNA, 3456 nt
Organism: Sapajus apella (tufted capuchin)
Lineage: Eukaryota; Metazoa; Chordata; Mammalia; Primates; Cebidae
Exons: 2
Source: RefSeq, a predicted model, not a curated record
AUUAAUUUUUGUUGACCCUCCAGUCAUAAGCCUUAGCAUUGUGUAACUCUGAGUAGCAAUAGUAUUUGAGCUUGAAAAGGCAAAGGCAAGUUUACAGAGAGUGGUAGUUUUUGUAAUCGCAACUAAGGUGUAUAAAGUUUACUGGGUGCUGAUGUGAUGUGAGUGUUUCUGAGAUGCUGUGGAAUGGCAGUGCUGUGGUGGUGUGAGCAGGGCCCUCUGUGCCAGCCCUCCUAGGCCACCUCUGCAUAAUGGAUGAUUUCACAAGCGGUGUGCUUGAGAUCAGCACCUGUUGUCAUCGGGUCCGUUCUGCUUGAUUUUACCUUAGGAUGGUGCUCCAUGAGGAGAGUCUGCUAAUUAGAAAUGCAGCUCAUCUGGCAUGAAAGAGUUAUGUCUUUAGCAGAAAUGGGAGAAUUGUGCAGUGAUAAUUGAAGGCUUAGAUUGGUUUUGCUGGAGGGCAGGAAUCACAUAGGGUGUGGAGGGAUCAUUAGGUGCUUUGCCUCUGGAGAGAAGUCAGAAAUUGUGUUCAAGUAACAAGAAAAUUACACUGAUAUGGCCCAUGACGUUUGUACAUUCAUACAUACAACCGAGAAAAAACUUCAAGAAACUGAAAAUGUGACUCAUCACCACAGUCAUCUCAAGUGGAGUACCCAGAGCUCGGUGCUGUGGCUCAUAGCCAAAAUUAAAAAGGGGUAAACCCUGGGUUUGGGUCUCAGCUCUGCCACUGACCAGAGUUAAACUCUCUUACUCCCAGUUUCUUCUUGGGGGAAAAAAAAAAAAAAAGCUGAAAGAGACAUUUUUACAUAUACCUUUUAUACCUAAAAUGAUGUCAUUGUAAGAUGGAUGGUUGGUAAUAUAAUACCAAGAGUUCUUAAAGUCCAAAAAUCAAGCUUAUAAGGGCAGUACAGCAGGACUAAGGUUUUGUAAAUGUACUUAGUUUCCAAGUUAUAGUAAAUGGUAAGGAAGAAGAAAUUUGCAGUAGCUUACAAAAUAACAUUUCUCUUUGUAUUUACCAGUGCCACUGAUUCAUUAGAAAAGAAUAGAGUAGAAAACAAUAGAAAUAACAUUUGGGAAUUACAGAGAAUCCUAGAGAACAGUUAGUCCAGUCCUUGAACUUGAACAUUGGGAGGCUGAGCUUCCAUGCAUUUGAUGAGUAUCAGGCCUAGUGCUAACCACACCAAGUAUUCUUCUGUCACAUCUUGACUUAAACAAUACCGUUGGGUACCUAACUCAUUUCUGUUGUCCGGUUGCCCUUUGCUACCCACACCCAAUGCUGGCCACAAAAGAGUGUUUUGCCAAUGUCAGUAUGUAAACAUUUAGGGAUAUAGACGACAUAGUCACAUGUCUGUUUACAUAGUUAAUAAUUUAGCUGUAUAUACACAUUUAAACUCCUAUAAAUAGGUCAUCCAGCAAUUUAGAAUUAUUGCUUUUUGCCAUUCUUACAUUUCAGGGAACUGUCCUGAAUGGUGAGUGCCUCCCCAUUGCUGUCAUUGUCUCCACUCAGGCCCCCUUUCAGGUCACUUAAUGCCCUGCUCCUGAACAUACCUUCUUCACUGCCACCUGAGUUGUUUGAGGUGCGGCAGAUUUUGAAUGUAAGGAUAAUGCUGUCACAGGAAGUUUUGUCCCAGAACCCAGUAUCUCUUCACAUAAAAUUAGGACAGUUGCAUUUUUAAUUAGUUAGUCGUGUAUUUAUGAUCUUUGCAAUGUGUAGAUUAACUUUAUUGAUUCCUAAGUGAUUCUAAAGAGGCUGUUUGUGAGAUCCAGCAUUUCCGAUUUUGAGACUAUUCCCACAGGAAUAAUUACUGGAUCUGAUUGAAUUUCUUUACCUUUUAUUUUCCAACUUACUAUGUCAGAUGGCUUCCAUGUAAUGCAAAUGUGGAAUUCGUUGAGGUCAUUUAGGGUUAAUGUGUCUUCUACAAACAGUGCUUUGUUAUUCAAAAUAAAGUACCAGGCAGUAUGUGAGAUCUUGUAAAGAAGUCAGGAUUAGGGGAUUUCCCUUUUCUGAGAAGCAAUUUUGAAAGAAAAAGUCUACUUAUAUUCGGGUAUAUAUUGUAUAUGAAAGAAUUAGUGAUGAAAUCAUACUUGCAAAUAUUCACGUCAUUAAUGGUGACAGAGACUUGGAGUGUUAUAGGACGUCAGGGCCAAGGAAGUACGAUUUGGAAUUAUAUGAUAAGGUAUCAUGGAGGAUAGAGUCUGAGCAAUUUAGAAUUGUGGUGAUGAUGGAUUUCAGGAAUGAGGACAAUAAUGGACAAAAGAAUAAAAUGUGGAAGUGGGAAUCUGCAUGACUUACAUGGAAUAUUACUUAGGAAACUGGUCGGAGAGACCAGGGUUUUAUGUUGAUGGACAAUAGGAAAUAAAGAUUCAAGGCAGGAUAGGACUAGACUAUGAAAUGUCUUAAACAUGCUUAAGCCGGGUAAUAUGAGCAAUCAGAAAUCAUUGUAGGUUUAUGAACAGACAGAAAGAAGAUGGUGAAGUCAACAUUAGGCAGACUUUGGUUGUGGUGGGAUGCAAAAUGGAUUAGCAGGGGGAGAUAAUGGCAGUGAAGAGGCUCAUUGGAGAGCUUUUCAGCUGUUUAGAGGUGUUACCACAAGAAACUGGACUUCAAGUGGCAGCAGGAAAACAGCAAAGAGGAGAUGGAUAUGUUCCAUUUUGAUGAAAGAACCUACAGUAUCCGAUAGCAAGAAAGGGAAGGAUGAAAAUUACCCAAAAAUGAUUCUAAGAUUUCUAACCUGAAAUAGUAGAAUGAUAGUGCAAGUAAUAGAAGUAGGAAGACUUUUGAGGAGUCUUGUGUUAAAAUGAUACUGAAAAUAGGAGUAAUUGUUUUAGGGUAAUGUAGGUCAAGAAGAGCUUAAGAAAAUAUAGGAGAUACUACAGCAUGUUUGGAUGGUGACCGGAAUGAUCUAGUUAGAAGGAAAAGCCAAUAAUAUAAGAAAGACGAUUGCAGGAGCAAAGUCUUUUGAGGAAUAAGAAGAACAAAAUUGUUUGUCUCUCAGGGAAGUAUAAAUCAAGGUCAUCAUCUCACAUUAGAUGGAAGAAGCGGGUAUGGAAAUUUGAAGAGAGAGAGGAAAAUGUAAACAGACAUCUUGAAAGGAGAGGAUGAAUAAAUUAAUAAGGGAAAUGUGGUAGGAUCACCUACUGGUGCUGACAGCUUACUUGAGGUUAGUGGUUAUGCCUCUGAAGAGAGGCCGGCCAGCACAGUUCUGUGAUUUUCUCUAGUUUGAUGUAGGUGUGCAGUGUAGGUAGAGAGGUACCAGGGUGGGAUUUUUCCUGACAAGUCUGGUAGAAAGAGAGAGGGAGUCAUGGGGAUUGAGGAUUAUGUAAGAGAGCUUUAUAGUGAUUGACCAUGUUAUCUGCAUUGGAAAGGAGACAAAAUCAGUGGGUAAGUGAUGUGGAGAGUAGAGGGGAGGUUCUAGUGGGCUUGAAGAAUUAUUGGAGGGAGGUAGCUAAGGAAGUAAGUAG